Molecule: ribosomal RNA, 501 nt
Filed under: Triticum aestivum (bread wheat)
Lineage: Eukaryota; Viridiplantae; Streptophyta; Magnoliopsida; Poales; Poaceae
Description: partial small subunit ribosomal RNA
Source: RNAcentral
AUGUCUUCCUCCACCUCCUCCUCCUUCCAGCCAAACCUCAGCGGCGGAGUCACAGAGAAACUCUCCCGCACCAACUACAUCCUGUGGCGAACUCAGAUCACGCCACAGCUGCGGGGCGCCGGCGUCUAUCACUACGUCGACGGCACGUCGACCGAGCCGGCCAAAACCCACGUCACCAAAGAUGCCGCUGGGAAAGAAACCGAGGGGCCGAAUCCUCUCCAUCCGCUCUGGGUGAAGGAGGAUCAGCAGGUCCUUGGAUAUCUACUCCAACACCUAUCCAAGGAGGUGCUCGUCACGGUGACUGCGAUCACCACGGCGCGCGAACUCUGGGUGGCGCUGGCGAGCAUGUUCUCGUCACAGUCCCUCAGCCGCGUCAACAACAUUCGCACGGCGCUGAUCAACGCGCAGAAGGGCAGCCAAUCGGUGUCCUCCUUCUUCGCCACCAUGAGGGGGCUUGCUGAUGAACUCGCCGCGGCGGGAAAACCAAUCCAAGACGACUAG